UCUGAGCUGUUCUGUCCAGAAGUUUGGCACGGAGAAGGCGAUGACACCCGACUCCAGUACUCUUGCCUGGAAAAUCCCAUGGAUGGAGGAGCCUGGUGGGCUGCAGUCCAUGGGGUUGUGAAGAGUCGGACACGACUGAGCGACUUCACUUUCACUUUUCACUUUCCUGCAUUGGAGAAGGAAAUGACAACCCACCCCAGUGUUCUUGCCUGGAGAAUCCCAGGGACGGGGGAGCCUGGUGGGCUGCCAUCUGUGGGGUUGCACAGAGUCAGACACGACUGAAGCGACUUAGCAGCAGCAGCAGCAGCAGUGGUUAAGAAUCCAUCUUGCAAUGCAGGGGGCCACCGGUUCAGUCCCUGGUCUGGGAAGACCCCACAUGCUGAGGGGCAACUAAGCCAGUGCGUCACAAUUACUGAAGCCUGUGCGCCCUAGCGCUUGGGCUCCACAAGAGAAGCGCCUCAGUAAGAAGCCUGCCCACUGCAACUAGAGAAAGCCUUCACGCAACAGCAAAGACCCAGGGCGGCCAAAAAUAAAAAUAAAUGAAUAAAGCUGAGUCUUAAGAAGUGAAAUAAAGAAAUAAAAAUAUUUGGGAAAAUACUUUCAGUGUAUAUCUUAAGUGACUCUUUCCUUGAAUAUGUAAAUAGUUCUCAUAAACCUGUAAGAAAAAGUUACAUAUGUUGAAUUACUUUCUGGGCCCAAGAUGGCCCACUGUUGCCUGGGAUGUCGCUGAUUAACAAACUCCAACCCGGGUAACUUUUGUGUCCUUGUAAAUGCUCCACUUGACCUGAAAUGCAGUCUAUCCAGUCAGCCAAACAGCGAGCCAACUCUGGGCUCUAUACUCGUUUCCUUGUUCUUUCUCACCCCAAGCAGGCAAGCAGACUCUGCAGCCUGGGUCAAUCAGAUAUUUUCUCUUUGCUCUUCCUUAUUCCUUGUUCUUUACCCGGUAAAGCUUCCUGCCUUCUGUCCCAUUUUGCACUUCUUUGAAUGGAGACUUUCUGCUUCAUGAAGUGUUAAAUAAAGCUUGUUUGUAUCAACUGAA
This is a long non-coding RNA of Bos taurus (domestic cattle), 1039 nucleotides long. Lineage: Eukaryota; Metazoa; Chordata; Mammalia; Artiodactyla; Bovidae. The record is from Ensembl.